This 759-nucleotide long non-coding RNA is filed under the name Macaca fascicularis (crab-eating macaque). RNAcentral describes it as "lncRNA (ENSMFAG00000060199.1)". The record is from RNAcentral. Lineage: Eukaryota; Metazoa; Chordata; Mammalia; Primates; Cercopithecidae.
UGUUUGGGGCGAAGCUGGGCGCGCGGCGCUCGAAGCACUCACUCGGCGGGUUUCGUGGUUGGUGGAGACAGCAAGGGCACCCCGCAGACCGCACCCCUCGAGCUAUAGGUUCGCAGGCCCGACUCGACGGCGUCCCUAUUGCUGGCCCAGCCUAUGGUCAUUGGGGGCCAUUUCUUGCAGAGAUGCCCAGCUCCCUGAAGCGCUCGCUCUUCUCCAGAGUUGGCCAAAGAUAUCAUCUCUUCUUUUGAUCACUGUUCCUGAUUGUGACAUUGUGCAAGUGUUAAAUUGUGUGCCUUUUGUUCCUGAAGAAAGAGGUCCUGGGAUCUUUGAAAUCCUAAGAUUCUUGGAUACCACAGUAUCAUAAAAUUCCUCUAAAUGCAUUGGUGCUAACAAUCCCCUACUCUGGCCUCUGGACCUAGCUUGAAGUUCUGGAUUAAUUUCCUUCUUCCUUGUACCUCAGCCUGAGCCUUCUGUCACCCAAAGGGCUCCAGCUUUUUUUCACUCAGGCCUCACUUGAUCUUCCAAGAUGAAGGAACUAAGACACAGAGGUUGAGACUUGUCUAAAGUAACAUGACCAGUAAGUGCUUGAAUUAAUGCAGAUGAGGAAACUGAGGUCCAGAGAAGUUGAAGCUUUCCCAAGGUCACACAGCAGAGCUGGAACUAGAGCUUGCAUUUCCUGACUUCCAGAUUAGUGUUAUUUUUACUUCAAACUGUUACUUCUUGGUGAGUUAUUGUGGGAAAAAUCCUGUAUUUUGAAGA